GAUGAAGAACGUAGCGAAAUGCGAUACGUAAUGUGAAUUGCAAAUUCAGUGAAUCAUCGAGUCUUUGAACGCACAUUGCGCCCCCUGGUAUUCCGGGGGGCAUGCCUGUCCGAGCGUCAUUGCUGCCCAUCAAGCACGGCUUGUGUGUUGGGUCCUCGUCCCCCCCGGGGGACGUGCCCGAAAGGCAGCGGCGGCACCGCGUCCGGUCCUCGAGCGUAUGGGGCUUUGUCACCCGCUCUGCAGGCCCGGCCGGCGCUGGCCGACGCGAAAGCAACCAUUUUUUCUCCAGGUUGACCUCGGAUCAGGUAGGGAUACCCGCUGAACUUAAGCAUAUCAAUAAGCGGAGGA
Molecule: unclassified non-coding RNA, 348 nt
Filed under: soil metagenome
Description: partial contains 5.8S ribosomal RNA, internal transcribed spacer 2, and large subunit ribosomal RNA
Rfam family: 5.8S ribosomal RNA (bases 1-119)
Source: RNAcentral